AGGGCACCACCAGGAGUGGAGCCUGCGGCUUAAUUUGACUCAACACGGGAAACCUCACCCGGCCCGGACACGGACAGGAUUGACAGAUCGAUAGCUCUUUCUCGAUUCCGUGGGUGGUGGUGCAUGGCCGUUCUUAGUUGGUGGAGCGAUUUGUCUGGUUAAUUCCGAUAACGAACGAGACUCUGGCAUGCCAACUAGUUACGCGACCCCCCGAGCGGUCGGCGUCCCCCAACUUCUUAGAGGGACAAGUGGCGUUCAGCCACCCGAGAUUGAGCAAUAACAGGUCUGUGAUGCCCUUAGAUGUCCGGGGCUGCACGCGCGCUACACUGACUGGCUCAGCGUGUGCCUACCCUACGCCGGCAGGCGCGGGUAACCCGUUGAACCCCAUUCGUGAUGGGGAUCGGGGAUUGCAAUUAUUCCCCAUGAACGAGGAAUUCCCAGUAAGUGCGGGUCAUAAGCUUGCGUUGAUUAAGUCCCUGCCCUUUGUACACACCGCCCGUCGCCACUACCGAUUGGAUG
Molecule: ribosomal RNA, 519 nt
Filed under: uncultured eukaryote
Lineage: Eukaryota
Description: SSU rRNA
Rfam family: Eukaryotic small subunit ribosomal RNA
Source: RNAcentral